Molecule: ribosomal RNA, 241 nt
Filed under: uncultured bacterium
Lineage: Bacteria
Description: partial 16S ribosomal RNA
Rfam family: Bacterial small subunit ribosomal RNA
Source: RNAcentral
GAUCAUGGCUCAGGAUGAACGCUAGCUACAGGCUUAACACAUGCAAGUCGAGGGGCAUCAGUUUGGUUUGCUUGCAAACCAAAGCUGGCGACCGGCGCACGGGUGAGUAACACGUAUCCAACCUGCCUCAUACUCGGGGAUAGCCUUUCGAAAGAAAGAUUAAUAUCCGAUAGCAUAUAUUUCCCGCAUGGGUUUUAUAUUAAAGAAAUUCCGGUAGACGAUGGGGAUGCGUUCCAUUAGA